GAACUGGUAGCUCAGAGGAUAGAGCUUGGGUUUCCGAAACCCAAUGUCAAGGGUUCGAGUCCCUUUCAGUUCG
RNAcentral lists this transfer RNA (73 nucleotides) under Pseudobryopsis hainanensis. RNAcentral's name for it is "tRNA-Arg". It matches the Rfam family "tRNA". From Rfam's summary of the family: Transfer RNA (tRNA) molecules are approximately 80 nucleotides in length. The record is from RNAcentral. Lineage: Eukaryota; Viridiplantae; Chlorophyta; Ulvophyceae; Bryopsidales; Pseudobryopsidaceae.